CUGGUGUCAGCCGCCGCGGUAAUACCAGCACCUCGAGUGGUCAGGACGUUUAUUGGGCCUAAAGCAUCCGUAGCCGGCUUUGCAAGUCUUCGGUUAAAUCCACCUGCUCAACAGAUGGGCUGCUGGAGAUACUACAAAGCUAGGGAGUGGGAGAGGCAGACGGUAUUCAGUGGGUAGGGGUAAAAUCCUCUGAUCCAUUGAGGACCACCAGUGGCGAAGGCGGUCUGCCAGAACACGUUCGACGGUGAGGGAUGAAAGCUGGGGGAGCAAACCGGAUUAGAUACCCGGGUAGUCCCAGCUGUAAACGAUGCAAACUCGGUGAUGCAUUGGCUUAUGGCCAAUGCAGUGCCGCAGGGAAGCCGUUAAGUUUGCCGCCUGGGAAGUACGGACGCAAGUCUGUAACUUAAAG
Molecule: ribosomal RNA, 409 nt
Filed under: uncultured Nitrososphaerota archaeon
Lineage: Archaea; Thermoproteati; Nitrososphaerota
Description: bacterial SSU rRNA
Rfam family: Archaeal small subunit ribosomal RNA
Source: RNAcentral